UACGUAGGGGGCAAGCGUUGUCCGGAAUCAUUGGGCGUAAAGAGCGCGUAGGCGGCCCUGUAAGUCCGCUGUGAAAGUCAAGGGCUCAACCCUUGGAUGCCGGUGGAUACUGCAGGGCUAGAGUCCGGAAGAGGCGAGUGGAAUUCCUGGUGUAGCGGUGAAAUGCGCAGAUAUCAGGAGGAACACCGAUGGCGAAGGCAGCCCCCUGGGAUAACACUGACGCUCAUGCACGAAAGCGUGGGGAGCAAACAGG
RNAcentral lists this ribosomal RNA (253 nucleotides) under uncultured bacterium. Its description in RNAcentral is "partial 16S ribosomal RNA". It matches the Rfam family "Bacterial small subunit ribosomal RNA", at positions 524 to 776 of the family's 1533-position model. The record is from RNAcentral.